This 441-nucleotide ribosomal RNA is filed under the name uncultured bacterium. Its description in RNAcentral is "partial 16S ribosomal RNA". It matches the Rfam family "Bacterial small subunit ribosomal RNA", at positions 338 to 795 of the family's 1533-position model. The record is from RNAcentral.
CCUACGGGUGGCAGCAGUGGGGGAUAUUGCACAAUGGGGGGAACCCUGAUGCAGCGACGCCGCGUGGGUGAAGGAGCGUUUCGGCGCGUAAAGCCCUAUCGGCAGGGAAGAAGGAGGACGGUACCUGACUAAGAAGCCCCGGCUAACUACGUGCCAGCAGCCGCGGUAAUACGUAGGGGUCAAGCGUUAUCCGGAUGUAUGGGGGUUAACGGGGGUGCUGGCGGCAGUGCAAGCCAGCAGUGAAAUCUCGGUGCCCAACACCAGGAGUGCUCGUGAAACCGCGGAGCUGGAGGGGAGGAGGGGCAGGCGGAAUGCAUGGUGUAGCGGUGAAAUGAGUAGAGAGCAGGAGGAACACAGGUGGCGAAGGCGGCCUGCUGAACUACGACUGACGUUGAGGCCCGAAAGCGUGGGGAGCAAACAGGAUUAGAUACCCUUGGAGUC